GGAUCCAAUUUCAGUACCCACUGUGCUGUAAAUGUUUAAAAUCACAGGAGAUGCAGUUUCUUACUUGGGAAAAAAAUCAAUGCCGAGUCCAACCUUCCAUACUCAUAACUCCCAGUUCCACUUCCCUUGAUAGUCUUCUGGUUUUCUAGCUCAAAAAGAAACCAACUCUAGUAUUGUGCUAUCUGAUAGCCAACAGCAAUAUCAAGAAGAUGAUGUCAGCCACGUUUCAUUGGUUACUAGAAAAUCAAAGCCUGGGUUCUUUUGGCUCUUUGCCUGAGCAAAAGUUUCUUAUAGUUCUAGGUCAUCUGUGAAAAGUCCAAGCCUUUGUAUGCCUUUUUAUUGAAUGAUGUAUUAAUAGGUGUUUCACUUCUGUGAGUUACGAUUCAGGUAUAUAUUUAUGUAUAUACGUUCUGCAAUGGCUAAUACUGUGCAGAGCCAGGAUGUUGUGACAGAGAACUUAAGGAAACAGCUUGCAGUUGCUGUGAGGAGUAUCCAGUGGAGCUAUGCAAUUUUCUGGUCACUGUCAACUACACAACAAGGGUAUAUAUUUACUUAAUUUCUUCAAACUGAUGAUUCUCUGCAAUUCUCUUAUUGUUUCUUAACUUUCAUGUCUGGGUGUUUUUUGAUGGUGAAACAAGUGUUACUCUUUCCAUAAAGAACCUACACUUCCAGUGAAUUAUUACUCCCACAAAAAUUGUGGAUUUUUCUACAUGCAGCUGGGUUGAAUUUACUCAGAUUUUGUUAAUUUAAGGGAUUAAACCCGCUAACCCAGACUUCUUCUGGCAAACUUCUGUAAUCAUUUUUUUAAGGAAAAAGAAUCUAUUGAGAUGCCUUUCCUUUUAUCUUUCUCUAUGCUUGUCUUGAGAAAAAUUUGAUGUAAAUGAUAUGCUUAAGGGUACUGGAGUGGGUGGAUGGGUAUUAUAAUGGAGACAUCAAGACUAGGAAGACUGCACAAGCUAUGGAGCUUAAGCAUGACAAAAUAGGGUUACAGAGAAGUGAGCAACUGAGAGAACUUUAUAAGUCUCUUCUUGAAGGUGAAAUUGACCAACAGGCUAAUAGGCCUUCUGCUGCAUUGUCUCCGGAGGAUCUCUCUGAUGCAGAGUGGUAUUACUUGGUUUGCAUGUCCUUUGUGUUCAAUCCCGGUGAAAGGUACUAAUCUCUCUUCCCAGUAGGAAAUCUUUCUGUGUGCACUUGUUACAUGCGCUACGAUUUCAAAAUUUUUAAUCGUAAUUGCUGCACAGUUUGCCAGGAAGAGCAUUAGCAAAUAAAGAAACCAUCUGGUUGUGCAAUGCUCAAUAUGCAGAUAGUAAAGUAUUCUCUCGCUCUUUGCUUGCCAAGGUUGGUUUUUCUUGACUAAGAUAUCUCUUAAUUGAUGUAAUCUGUAAAUUUCAUGCUGGUGUUAAAGCCAUAUCAUAUUAGAUGCAGAGAUGGAAAACUAACAUUUUUCCUUUUUGGGCCAUUUUUUUAUGUAAUUGGACAUCAACACUGCCCUUAGAGUGCAUCUAUCCAAGUAAGAAAAUCUCUUUCUAUUACAAAUAGCUGAUCAACACCUAUAACUUCAUUCUCAGAUCACCAAAUUCAGAUGGUUUGUUGUGCUCUGAAAUUGAUGUUCAAAAGUUGCUUGUGAAUUUUAUUUUGCAGACAGUGGUAUGUUUUCCCCACUUUGAGGGAGUAAUUGAGCUGGGUGUAACUGAAUUGGUUGCUGAGGACCCUAAUCUCAUUCAACGCAUCAAGGCUUCCAUAUUAGAAUUCUCGAAGCCUGUUUGUGCUGAAAAAUCUUCGUGUGUUCCUCAUGGCGUAGAUGAUGAUAAAGACCCAGUAUGCGCUCAAGUUGACUGUGAGACAGUAGAUGCAUUAGCAGCUUUGGAGGACCUGUGCCACCCCACAGAAGAUAUCAUAUUUAACCAAGAGGGAAUUGAUGAAUUGCAAGAAAAUAUGCAUGAAGAAUUGAACAUGGACUCUUCUGAUGAUUGUUCAAAUGGCUUUGAGAAGAAUCAUCAGACUGAAGACUCCAUUCUCGAAAGUUUGAAUGGUGGGACCUCUCAUGCUCAAUGUUGGCAUUUCGUGGGUGAUGAAUUAAGAGGUGGUGUUGAAGUCCACUCCAGUGAUUGUAUAACUGAGGAUAUCGCAAGUGAAGAAAACACUCUCUCUUGUCCUAAGGACAAAAAUGUUAACCACCUUCAGUUGAAAGAACUUAAAGAAGGCAACCACAGCAAAUUGAGCUCUUUGGAUCUUGGAGCCGGUGAUAACUUGCACUACAAAAGAACUCUGUCUACAGUCCUGGGAAGUUCAACCCAGUUGAUUGCAAAUUCAUGUUUCUGCAGUAGAAAUCAAAAAUCCAGUUUUGUUAAUUGGAAGAAAGGAGCAUUUAAUGGUCAUAGGCCACAAUUACAACAAAAUAUGUUAAAAAAAAUUUUAUUUACGGUCCCUUUGAUUCACAGUGGACACUCUCUUAGACCUCAUAUAGAAAAUGGAGGGAAAGAUUGUUGUAGGAAGCUGAAAAGCAAUGAAAUAUGCCGGGGACUCAAGUUAAUGAUCCAUUCUGUUGGUGAGAUCAACAAAGCAUCAAUCCUGGAUGACAUGAUUAGAUACUUAAAAGAGCUUGAGGCAAGAGUUGAGGAAUUGGAAUCUUGCAUGGACUCUGUGGAGUAUAUACAGAAAGACCCAGAAGGAAUGAUUUUGACAUGGCAGAGCAGACAUCAGAUAACUAUGAAAACAAGGCGACUGAAAAUGGCAAGAAGCUUUGGUUAAACAAGAGGAAGGCCAGUGACAUCUAUGUAACUGACCCAGAGCUUAAUGAAAUGGUAACUGAUCAGGAUGGCUUGAUGUCAGAUGUUAAGGUCAGCAUGAGGGAGAAGGAGGUUCUGAUUGAGAUGAAAUGUUCUUACAGGUAGUACAUAUUGCUUGACAUCAUGGAUGAAAUCAACAAUCUUCACUUGGAUGUGCACUCAGUUCAGUCAUCUACUAUUGAUGGCAUUCUCACAGUGACCCUAAAGUCUAAGUUUUGUGCUGAAGGGCAAUCUAGGAAGAGCCCAUUUACUGCCUUUUCUUCUUAUUUUAUUGUUCACAAUUCACAUAAGCUAAAAUCUGAUGAACUUCAUUUCAGUUUCAAGGAGCAGCAGUUGCACCUGCUGGGGUGAUCAAACAAGCACUUUGGAAGAUUGGCAGUAAUUAAGAGUUGGAGGUGUUAGUUUCAACUUAUCCCUUUUCAGUAGAGAAUUGGCUUCUAGUUCUAGAUAGUUGUGUAAUUUGUAGCUGUAGCUGCUUAAAAUUCAAACUACUUCCUAACUGAUUUCUGCAACAAUUGUUUCGACUUUAGCUGAUCAACUGCAUCCAUAAUUAUGCCCCACAUUUGCAGCAUGAGCUUUGACCAAGAAACCAAAACUUCGUUGAAAUGAAAUUGCAAAAAAGAAUGAUA
RNAcentral lists this unclassified non-coding RNA (3418 nucleotides) under Hevea brasiliensis (rubber tree). Lineage: Eukaryota; Viridiplantae; Streptophyta; Magnoliopsida; Malpighiales; Euphorbiaceae. The record is from RNAcentral.